AUUGAACGCUGGCGGCAUGCUUUACACAUGCAAGUCGAACGGUAACAGGCCGCGAGGUGCUGACUAGUGGCGAACGGGGGAGUAAUGCAACGGAACGUGCCCAGUCGCUGGGGAUAACUGCUCGAAAGAGUAGCUAAUACCGCAUACGAUCUAUGGAUGAAAGCGGGGGGCCGUAAGGCCGCGCGCGAUUGGUGCUGCCGCUGAUAGAUUAGCUAGUUGGUGGGGUAAAGGCUCACCAAGCCAACGAUCAGUAGCUGGACUGAGAGGACAACCAGCCACACUGGGACUGAGACACGGCCCAGACUCCUACGGGAGGCAGCAGUGGGGAAUUUUGGACAAUGGGCGCAAGCCUGACCCAGCAAUGCCGCGUGCAGGAAGAAGGCCUUCGGGUUGUAAAAUGCUUUUGUACGGAACGAAACGGCUCUGGUUAAUACCCGGGGCUAAUGACGGUACCGUAAGAAUAAGCACCGGCUAACUACGUG
Molecule: ribosomal RNA, 482 nt
Filed under: uncultured bacterium
Lineage: Bacteria
Description: partial 16S ribosomal RNA
Rfam family: Bacterial small subunit ribosomal RNA
Source: RNAcentral